GGGUAUAUAGCUCAACUGGUAGAGUGCAUGCUUUGCAUGCACAAAGUCCUGGGUUCAAUUCCCAAUACCUCCU
This 73-nucleotide transfer RNA is filed under the name Camelus bactrianus (Bactrian camel). It matches the Rfam family "tRNA". Rfam says of the family: Transfer RNA (tRNA) molecules are approximately 80 nucleotides in length. Their secondary structure includes four short double-helical elements and three loops (D, anti-codon, and T loops). Further hydrogen bonds mediate the characteristic L-shaped molecular structure. tRNAs have two regions of fundamental functional importance: the anti-codon, which is responsible for specific mRNA codon recognition, and the 3' end, to which the tRNAs corresponding amino acid is attached (by aminoacyl-tRNA synthetases). tRNAs cope with the degeneracy of the genetic code in two manners: having more than one tRNA (with a specific anti-codon) for a particular amino acid; and 'wobble' base-pairing, i.e. permitting non-standard base-pairing at the 3rd anti-codon position. RNAcentral also lists the same sequence under 1 other name. The record is from Rfam by way of RNAcentral. Lineage: Eukaryota; Metazoa; Chordata; Mammalia; Artiodactyla; Camelidae.